This is a long non-coding RNA of Rhodamnia argentea, 2592 nucleotides long. RefSeq lists it as uncharacterized. Lineage: Eukaryota; Viridiplantae; Streptophyta; Magnoliopsida; Myrtales; Myrtaceae. The record is from RefSeq and is a predicted model, not a curated record. The transcript has 3 exons.
GUUUCUUGAUCUUGAAUUCUGGGUCGUGUUCUUUUUCUUCUUGUUUGAUUUGUGGAUUGUUUUGGGGAUGAACUUGUGGGCAUAUUUUGUUUUGCUUAUUGAUGGCUUGUGGGCGUGGGAUUUCGUUGUGGCAUGCUCUAACUUUUGGUUUUGAAACUGCAUCUGAGGACAUGAUGGAUAUGCAGAAUCUUUUGUUGCUUCCAAAUUGGCUUCUGUAUUUGCGCACAAAAAGGUGGCAAGUCUUGCUUAGUUUUAUUCAUUGAUCUAUGCUAAUAGGAGAAUUUGUGGUUAGCUUCAGUUUCCUAGUUGACCUGAAGAGAACAACCUCUUGCACUUGCGGCAGUUUUAUGUUUAUGUGGAGAGAAUAAAAUGUCAGGCUUUAGCAGGAUAUGGAAACCGACAUUUUGUUUAGCGAUGUGAAGAGCACAGUGUCUUUGUACUUCAAGCCAAUGGUACGGAGAGCACUGCCAUCUUCCAAGCUUACACAGCUUGCUCAAGUUGCCUACUUGUUUUUUAUUCAGGGAUGGUACCCCUUUGGUUUCCGGGUAAAAAUGAAUAUUAAGAUAGAUCUAUUGAGCUAAUGCCGAGUCCUUGGUGGUUGGGGAACUCACGCAGCUUAGAUAUUUGACAAUGAUUCUCUUCCAGCCUUUAGUUAUAUGAAAUCAGGGAUUGUUGAGAUUGAUAGCAUGCGGGAUGUUAUAUCUGGAACACAGUAGAGCAGAUCCUCAUGUAGUUGAGUUGAGAUGUCACUAUCCACUUGGGAAGAGAGUACAAAUUAAGUCAAGUUGAAGGAGCUCUUAGAGGGCUAUUGAACUAAGAGAAUCUUGAGUGAGAUGAGAAGAAUUAAGAUUGAGAAGAGAAGAGAAUAGAUGAGAAGGGGAUUGAAGAAGAGAUAGUGAGUUGAGAGAGAAUAUUGCUUCUGCAUUUCUUUUGCUAUUAUUUCUUUCGUUAAGGAAAAUAGCAAGAGAAAUGAGCUUAUAUCUGCUCUUACAACUUCCCAUUGGCAUAAUAGUAGUAGAACUCCUAAAGCCAUCAUAAUAGCAAUUUUGCUACUACUUUCUAACUAACAGCCAUAUGACAACCAUCAUUCUCUCGUCUACCCUCUCGUAUGAUCUAUUCACUCAUAUUACUCUGGGGAUAUGACAUGUUGCAGACGCUGGUCAGAAAGUUUUGCCUUGUCUUCUCAUUCUCAAUGCAGAUUUACUUAGAGUUACGGUGUUUGUUGCAUUCAACUUGACUAUUUACUCAAGGAAAGUAUUUUUCUGUGGGGGGACUAAAGUUGACUGAAAAAUAUUGGGUACUCAAACUUUGUAAGCGCCAGAACUGGCUUGCAGUUUGAGGGAGCAUUUAUAAAUGAAACUGUUUAAUACAGUGUUUUACAUCUCUGUCCUUUUGCUGAGGUCAAUUCACUUGGUUUGCUGUGGGGGUGGUUUGGGAAUUUGAAUUAAAAGGAGCGAGAUAAAGGAGCAAACUGUCAAAGCCGUUUUUUUUUUACCUGAUAACUAGUAGAGUUGAGUUUAAGUUUCAUCUUCCUGAGUUUUCUAAAUUUGUUGAACCUGGACAGCGAGGUAAUGAUCAUGGAAGGGUAUGACACUGAACUAAAUUCUGGCUUUGUUUGUACUAUGAUGCACAAGGUAUUGGGUACUAAAUUUUGGACAUGAGACUACUGCAUGAAAAAAGUUUACUGUCUCGAGCGCUUCUGCCUUUUCUCUUUGCAUGUCACUAUGUUAGUAAGAAUAGUGCUAGGUACACCGAGACUGGUUUCAAAAAUGGUUUACUAAGUAAUGUGGCAGAUCCUUAUUGGGUGUCGAACAUGGCCUAGUGGUUUAAAAGACUCCUACAGUCUACCAUGUUACUUUGUAGACCUGUGUGUACACUGGUAUUAGUACACCUUGCAUUACUUACAUCAGUAAUUACUGGAAACAUAGGGUGACUUGCCUGAAUGCCUUCCAGAUAAGGUAAUCUGGGUUCCAACAUCCUGUACAAUAAUUGAUUGUAAUGUCAAAUCUGUCCAUUAUAAGUAAUUUAGAUGGUAAUUUUUAGUGUUGAUCAUUUCAUAUAAAAUUUUGCUUUAGCCUGAAAGGGCAGGGGAAGACGUAAAACAUGUGAAAUGAGACAAUAAAUAAAGAUUUCGGGCAUUCAGAGUUUCAAAAGACUUGAUAAAGAAUCGACUGCAAUGGUAAAAGGGCCAUAUGGCGACUCCACUUAGUGGGAAAAGGCUUAUUCUGUUUUUUUCGCUGCUUUCUAUUAUGCAGUUUCAAGUUUCAACUUCCUUCUUGUUUCAAGGGUCAUCUGGUUUAGUACAUCCCCAGAUCAUCCGAUUAGUUACACUUGAAACUUUUUAAGCUUGUUGCUUUCUCAGCAUUGGCAAGGAUAAGAUGAUGAAAGCUUUGUUCCUUAGAAUGAGGUGGCAAUAUACACCUCAUCUUUUGAUUUUCUUUACCUCUUUAUGAAUUUAAUAAAAUUACGUUGGAAAUGUACAAUCUGAUGAGACAUGGCAUACUUUUUUUAGCAACCAUAAAUUAUCUAAAUUGACAUGUUUAAAUGUUGAGAGCCAUUACAAGCUCAUUUUUCUGUGAUACUUCUUGUGCA